UACGGAGGAUGCAAGCGUUAUCCGGAUUUAUUGGGUUUAAAGGGUGCGCAGGUUGUUUGAUAAGUUAGUGGUGAAAGUCUGUCGCUUAACGGUAGGAUUGCCAUUGAUACUGUUGGACUUGAAUAUGGAUGAGGUAGGCGGAAUGUGUAGUGUAGUGGUGAAAUGCAUAGAUAUCACACAGAACACCGAUUGCGAAGGCAGCUUACUAAUCCAUCAUUGACGCUGAGGCACGAAAGCGUGGGGAUCAAACAGGA
Molecule: ribosomal RNA, 254 nt
Filed under: uncultured prokaryote
Description: partial 16S ribosomal RNA
Rfam family: Bacterial small subunit ribosomal RNA
Source: RNAcentral